This 465-nucleotide ribosomal RNA is filed under the name uncultured Klebsiella sp. Its description in RNAcentral is "bacterial SSU rRNA". It matches the Rfam family "Bacterial small subunit ribosomal RNA", at positions 338 to 795 of the family's 1533-position model. The record is from RNAcentral. Lineage: Bacteria; Pseudomonadati; Pseudomonadota; Gammaproteobacteria; Enterobacterales; Enterobacteriaceae.
CCUACGGGAGGCAGCAGUGGGGAAUAUUGCACAAUGGGCGCAAGCCUGAUGCAGCCAUGCCGCGUGUGUGAAGAAGGCCUUCGGGUUGUAAAGCACUUUCAGCGGGGAGGAAGGCGUUAAGGUUAAUAAUCUUGGCGAUUGACGUUACCCGCAGAAGAAGCACCGGCUAACUCCGUGCCAGCAGCCGCGGUAAUACGGAGGGUGCAAGCGUUAAUCGGAAUUACUGGGCGUAAAGCGCACGCAGGCGGUCUGUCAAGUCGGAUGUGAAAUCCCCGGGCUCAACCUGGGAACUGCAUUCGAAACUGGCAGGCUAGAGUCUUGUAGAGGGGGGUAGAAUUCCAGGUGUAGCGGUGAAAUGCGUAGAGAUCUGGAGGAAUACCGGUGGCGAAGGCGGCCCCCUGGACAAAGACUGACGCUCAGGUGCGAAAGCGUGGGGAGCAAACAGGAUUAGAUACCCGGGUAGUC